UUGGUCUAGUGGUAAGGGGUGUGUGGAGUGUACAUGGGGUCUAAGGUUCGAGUGGUGGCGCAUCAAAAAGGGAGUAUUUAUUUUGCUGCCUAAUUCUUGUGGGUGGUAGAGUUGGAUUGAAAUAUUCCUAAAUGAAGUUUGAACUGGUUAUAGAGAGAAUUGAGGAGGGAUAUUUGGAGAGAUUUGAGGAGAGCAUAUUGGGAUUUUGGGAGGUUAUUGUUGUCGAGAG
RNAcentral lists this long non-coding RNA (229 nucleotides) under Gossypium raimondii (Peruvian cotton). RNAcentral's name for it is "long non-coding RNA (GRAI_LNC011068)". Lineage: Eukaryota; Viridiplantae; Streptophyta; Magnoliopsida; Malvales; Malvaceae. The record is from RNAcentral.